This is a non-coding RNA of Prinia subflava (tawny-flanked prinia), 72 nucleotides long. The record is from the annotation of a RefSeq genome assembly. Lineage: Eukaryota; Metazoa; Chordata; Aves; Passeriformes; Cisticolidae.
GGGGAUGUAGCUCAGCGGAAGAGCGCUUGCUUUACAUGCAAGAGACCAUGGGAUCAACCCCCAGCAUCUCCA